This 1492-nucleotide ribosomal RNA is filed under the name uncultured Intrasporangiaceae bacterium. RNAcentral's name for it is "SSU rRNA". It matches the Rfam family "Bacterial small subunit ribosomal RNA". The record is from RNAcentral. Lineage: Bacteria; Bacillati; Actinomycetota; Actinomycetes; Micrococcales; Intrasporangiaceae.
AGAGUUUGAUCCUGGCUCAGGACGAACGCUGGCGGCGUGCUUAACACAUGCAAGUCGAACGAUGACGACGGGGCUUGCCUCGUCUGAUUAGUGGCGAACGGGUGAGUAACACGUGAGUAACCUGCCCCAGACUCUGGGAUAACUCCGGGAAACCGGAGCUAAUACCGGAUACGACAUUUGGCCGCAUGGUCGGGUGUGGAAAGUUUUUUCGGUUUGGGAUGGGCUCGCGGCCUAUCAGCUUGUUGGUGAGGUAGUGGCUCACCAAGGCGACGACKGGUAGCCGGCCUGAGAGGGCGACCGGCCACACUGGGACUGAGACACGGCCCAGACUCCUACGGGAGGCAGCAGUGGGGAAUAUUGCACAWUGGGCGAAAGCCUGAUGCAGCGACGCCGCGUGAGGGAUGACGGCCUUCGGGUUGUAAACCUCUUUCAGCAGGGAAGAAGCGCAAGUGACGGUACCUGCAGAAGAAGCACCGGCUAACUACGUGUCWGCAGCCGCGGUAAUACGUAGGGUGCGAGCGUUGUCCGGAAUUAUUGGGCGUAAAGAGCUUGUAGGCGGUUUGUCGCGUCUGCUGUGAAAAUCCGGGGCUCAACUCCGGACUUGCAGUGGGUACGGGCAGACUAGAGUGUGGUAGGGGAGACUGGAAUUCCUGGUGUAGCGGUGGAAUGCGCAGAUAUCAGGAGGAACACCGAUGGCGAAGGCAGGUCUCUGGGCCACUACUGACGCUGAGAAGCGAAAGCAUGGGGAGCGAACAGGAUUAGAUACCCUGGUAGUCCAUGCCGUAAACGUUGGGCGCUAGGUGUGGGACCCAUUCCACGGGUUCCGUGCCGCAGCUAACGCAUUAAGCGCCCCGCCUGGGGAGUACGGCCGCAAGGCUAAAACUCAAAGGAAUUGACGGGGGCCCGCACAAGCGGCGGAGCAUGCGGAUUAAUUCGAUGCAACGCGAAGAACCUUACCAAGGCUUGACAUGCACCGGACACCUCCAGAGAUGGGGGCUCCUUUUGGGCUGGUGCACAGGUGGUGCAUGGUUGUCGUCAGCUCGUGUCGUGAGAUGUUGGGUUAAGUCCCGCAACGAGCGCAACCCUCGUUCCAUGUUGCCAGCAGCACCUUCGGGUGGCUGGGGACUCAUGGGAGACUGCCGGGGUCAACUCGGAGGAAGGUGGGGAUGACGUCAAAUCAUCAUGCCCCUUAUGUCUUGGGCUUCACGCAUGCUACAAUGGCCGGUACAAAGGGUUGCGAAGCCGUGAGGUGGAGCGAAUCCCAAAAAACCGGUCUCAGUUCGGAUUGGGGUCUGCAACUCGACCCCAUGAAGUCGGAGUCGCUAGUAAUCGCAGAUCAGCAACGCUGCGGUGAAUACGUUCCCGGGCCUUGUACACACCGCCCGUCAAGUCACGAAAGUCGGUAACACCCGAAGCCGGUGGCCCAACCCUUGUGGGGGGAGCCGUCGAAGGUGGGACUGGCGAUUGGGACUAAGUCGUAACAAGGUAACCG